UAGGGAAUCUUCCACAAUGGGCGAAAGCCUAAUGGAGCAACGCCGCGUGUGUGAUGAAGGGUUUCGGCUCGUAAAACACUGUUGUAAGAGAAGAAUGACAUUGAGAGUAACUGUUCAAUGUGUGACGGUAUCUUACCAGAAAGGAACGGCUAAAUACGUGUCAG
This 164-nucleotide ribosomal RNA is filed under the name uncultured bacterium. RNAcentral's name for it is "partial 16S rRNA". It matches the Rfam family "Bacterial small subunit ribosomal RNA", at positions 355 to 511 of the family's 1533-position model. The record is from RNAcentral.